Molecule: ribosomal RNA, 795 nt
Filed under: uncultured bacterium
Lineage: Bacteria
Description: bacterial SSU rRNA
Rfam family: Bacterial small subunit ribosomal RNA
Source: RNAcentral
AGAGUUUGAUCAUGGCUCAGAUUGAACGCUGGCGGCGUGCCUAACACAUGCAAGUCGAGCGGUAACAGGUGUAGCAAUACAUGCUGACGAGCGGCGAACGGGUGAGUAAUGCUUCGGAAUCUACCCUAUAGUGGGGAAUAACUAGCCGAAAGGUUAGCUAAUACCGCAUAAGUCCUACGGGAGAAAGCAGGGGAUCGCAAGACCUUGCGCUGAUGGAUGAGCCGAAGUCGGAUUAGCUAGUUGGUGGGGUAACGGCUCACCAAGGCGACGAUCCGUAGCUGGUCUGAGAGGACGACCAGCCACACUGGAACUGAGACACGGUCCAGACUCCUACGGGAGGCAGCAGUGGGGAAUAUUGGACAAUGGGGGAAACCCUGAUCCAGCGACGCCGCGUGUGUGAAGAAGGCCUGCGGGUUGUAAAGCACUUUUAGUGGGGAUGAAAUGUGCAGGGUUAAUACCUCUGCAUUUUGACCUAACCCACAGAAAAAGCACCGGCUAACUCUGUGCCAGCAGCCGCGGUAAUACAGAGGGUGCAAGCGUUAAUCGGAAUUACUGGGCGUAAAGCGUGCGCAGAUGGUUGCGUAAGUCAGAUGUGAAAGCCCCGGGCUCAACCUGGGAAUUGCAUUUGAGACUGCGUAGCUAGGGUGCGGAAGAGGGAAGCGGAAUUUCCGGUGUAGCGGUGAAAUGCGUAGAUAUCGGAAGGAACACCAGUGGCGAAAGCGGCUUCCUGGUCCAGCACCGACAUUCAGGCACGAAAGCGUGGGGAGCAAACAGGAUUAGAUACCCCCGUAGUCC